GGAGUUGUAGCUCAGUGGUAGAGCGCUUGCCUAGCAUGUGUGAGGUACUGGGUUCGAAUCUCAACACCA
This 69-nucleotide transfer RNA is filed under the name Ictidomys tridecemlineatus (thirteen-lined ground squirrel). RNAcentral's name for it is "Spermophilus tridecemlineatus (thirteen-lined ground squirrel) tRNA". It matches the Rfam family "tRNA". From Rfam's summary of the family: Transfer RNA (tRNA) molecules are approximately 80 nucleotides in length. Their secondary structure includes four short double-helical elements and three loops (D, anti-codon, and T loops). RNAcentral also lists the same sequence under 1 other name. The record is from Rfam by way of RNAcentral. Lineage: Eukaryota; Metazoa; Chordata; Mammalia; Rodentia; Sciuridae.